AGUUUGAUCAUGGCUCAGAUUGAACGCUGGCGGCAGGCCUAACACAUGCAAGUCGAGCGGAAACGAGUUAGAACCUUCGGGGAACGAUAACGGCGUCGAGCGGCGGACGGGUGAGUAAUGCCUAGGAAAUUGCCCUGAUGUGGGGGAUAACCAUUGGAAACGAUGGCUAAUACCGCAUGAUGCCUACGGGCCAAAGAGGGGGACCUUCGGGCCUCUCGCAGGAUAUGCCUAGGUGGGAUUAGCUAGUUGGUGAGGUAAGGGCUCACCAAGGCGACGAUCCCUAGCUGGUCUGAGAGGAUGAUCAGCCACACUGGAACUGAGACACGGUCCAGACUCCUACGGGAGGCAGCAGUGGGGAAUAUUCAAUGGGCAAGCCUGAUGCAGCCAUGCCGCGUGUGUGAAGAAGGCCUUCGGGUUGUAAAGCACUUUCAGUCGUGAGGAAGGUAGUGUAGUUAAUAGCUGCAUNAUUUGACGUUAGCGACAGAAGAAGCACCGGAACUCCGUGCCAGCAGCGCGGUAAUACGGAGGGUGCGAGCGUUAAUCGGAAUUACUGGGCGUAAAGCGCAUGCAUAGUCAGAUGUGAAAGCCCGGGGCUCAACCUCGGAAUUGCAUUUGAAUGGCAGACUAGGUACUGUAGAGGGGGGUAGAAUUGGUGUAGCGGUGAAAUGCGUAGAGAUCUGAAGGAAUACCGGUGGCGAAGGCGGCCCCCUGGACAGAUACUGACACUCAGAUGCGAAAGCGUGGGGAGCAAACAGGAUUAGAUACCCUUAGUCCACGCCGUAAACGAUGUCUACUUGGAGGUUGUGGCCUUGAGCCGUGGCUUUGAGCUAACGCGUUAAGUACCGCCUGGGGAGUACGGUCGCAAGAUUAACAAAUGAAUUGGGGGGNCCGCACAAGCGGUGGAGCAUGUGGUUUAAUUCGAUGCAACGCGAAGAACCUUACCUACUCUUGACAUCCAGAGAACUUUCCAGAGAUGGAUUGGUGCCUUCGGGAACUCUGAGACAGGUGCUGCAUGGCUGUCGUCAGCUCGUGUUGUGAAAUGUUGGGUUAAGUCCCGCAACGAGCGCAACCCUUCCUUUCAGCGAGUAAUGUCGGGAACUCCAGGGAGACUGCCGGUGAUAAACCGGAGGAAGGUGGGGACGACGUCAAGUCAUCAUGGCCCUUACGAGUAGGGCUACACACGUACAAUGGCGCAUACAGAGGGCAGCCAACUUGCGAUGAGCGCCCAAAAAGUGCGUCGUAGUCCGGAUUGGAGUCUGCAACUCGACUCCAUGAAGUCGGAAUCGCUAGUAAUCGUGGAUCAGAAUGCCACGGUGAAUACGUUCCCGGGCCUUGUACACACCGCCCGUCACACCAUGGGAGUGGG
This 1366-nucleotide ribosomal RNA is filed under the name Vibrio parahaemolyticus. Its description in RNAcentral is "16S ribosomal RNA". It matches the Rfam family "Bacterial small subunit ribosomal RNA". Lineage: Bacteria; Pseudomonadati; Pseudomonadota; Gammaproteobacteria; Vibrionales; Vibrionaceae. The record is from RNAcentral.